RNAcentral lists this non-coding RNA (65 nucleotides) under Subdoligranulum variabile. The record is from RNAcentral. Lineage: Bacteria; Bacillati; Bacillota; Clostridia; Eubacteriales; Oscillospiraceae.
AGCCGAAACGGCCCCGCGGGCCGUCUGCCGGGGAUGGCCGCCCGGUACUGAUGAGGCAGGCCGGA